This 537-nucleotide long non-coding RNA is filed under the name Rattus norvegicus (Norway rat). RNAcentral's name for it is "long non-coding RNA NONRATT007436". The record is from RNAcentral. Lineage: Eukaryota; Metazoa; Chordata; Mammalia; Rodentia; Muridae.
CGCCUCACAACGUUGCGGUUCCGCGCUUUAAGGAUUACGGCGUGGCGGUUGCGCGGCCAGUUUUGCAGGAAAAGCACUACUGCUCGUGUGUGAGGGAUGCUUCGACCUCGGCACUCGACUGGGCGUGACAGGAAGCAGAGGUGUCGGCCUCUAUUUGCGGGGUGUCUCUAGCUACUGGACUCCGGGAUGCUUCCCUCACACUCUCGCGAGGGAUCAGGCACUGGGAAGCAGCUUCUGAAAGUCUGGAGCUGAGAUCUGGCUUCUCCAGUUGGAAGCACACAUGCCAAACUGCUCUGGAGACGCCGGAGGCAUCGGCAGAUCCCAGACGAGCGUUGAGUGAAGGCUGUGAUCUGCCUUACCGGUCACCUCACUCAGGACACAGCGCUCGCACGUUGCAGCAGCUCCAGACCCCACUACUACCGGAAAGUUACAGGUACCGGAACCAAGAAGACCAGCGCGGCCCAGGAACAGCGGAGGAAAACUCUUCCCAGGAUGGUCUCCCACUCAGAGCUGAGGAAGCUCUUCUGUUCGGCUGAU